This 471-nucleotide ribosomal RNA is filed under the name uncultured eukaryote. Its description in RNAcentral is "SSU rRNA". It matches the Rfam family "Eukaryotic small subunit ribosomal RNA", at positions 64 to 538 of the family's 1831-position model. The record is from RNAcentral.
UAUAAAAUAGUAUACAGUGAAACUGCGAAUGGCUCAUUAAAAACAGUUAUAGUUUAUUUGAUAAUUGAAUUCUACAUGGAUAACCGUAGUAAUUCUAGAGCUAAUACAUGCUGUAAAACCUGACUUUUCGGAAAGGUUGUAUUUAUUAGAUAUCAAACCAAUAAUCUUUCGGGAUUAUUGUGAUGAUUCAUAAUAACUGAUCGGAUCAAGGUGUACCUUGAUAGAUCAUUCAAGUUUCUGCCCUAUCAGCUUUCGAUGGUAGUGUAUUGGACUAUCAUGGCAGUCACGGGUAACGGAGAAUUAGGGUUCGAUUCCGGAGAGGGAGCCUGAGAAACGGCUACCACAUCUACGGAAGGCAGCAGGCGCGUAAAUUACCCAAUCCUGAUUCAGGGAGGUAGUGACAAGAAAUAACAACUACGGGGGCCGUCACGGCUUACGAGAUUGCAAUGAGAACAAUUUAAAUACUCUUAG